Molecule: ribosomal RNA, 429 nt
Filed under: Bacteroidota bacterium
Lineage: Bacteria; Pseudomonadati; Bacteroidota
Description: Bacteroidetes bacterium partial 16S ribosomal RNA
Rfam family: Bacterial small subunit ribosomal RNA
Source: RNAcentral
UAGGGAAUCUUCGGCAAUGGGGGGAACCCUGACCGAGCAACGCCGCGUGAGUGAAGAAGGUUUUCGGAUCGUAAAGCUCUGUUGUUAAGGAAGAACGAGUGUGAGAAUGGAAAGUUCAUGCUGUGACGGUACUUAACCAGAAAGGGACGGCUAACUACGUGCCAGCAGCCGCGGUAAUACGUAGGUCCCGAGCGUUGUCCGGAUUUAUUGGGCGUAAAGCGAGCGCAGGCGGUUAGAUAAGUCUGAAGUUAAAGGCGGUGGCUCAACCAUUGUGGGCGUUGGAAACUGUUUAACUUGAGUGCAGAAGGGGAGAGUGGAAUUCCAUGUGUAGCGGUGAAAUGCGUAGAUAUAUGGAGGAACACCGGUGGCGAAAGCGGCUCUCUGGUCUGUAACUGACGCUGAGGCUCGAAAGCGUGGGGAGCGAACAGG